AAAAAAAAAAAAGUCAGCACUUCCCCCUUGGUGUUUAAAAAAGACAUUCCUUCCAGAAUACUCCAGGGGGCAGUGUUUUCUAAUGCAUUUUCAGCGGGUGACUGAAGGAUGGAAAAUUUUUGAAAAAUUGACAGCUGCAUGAAAAAUGAGAAAAUAUUUUUCUCACUUCUGAAGUAGACCUGCAGCUGGUGUCUUGUUCAUCCAGAGAACACUCUGAAGCAAUGAGUGCAUGGGAGACUGCUUUCGGUUUAGGAAAAUCAUGAGAAAUGCAGCACUCUCCAUUCUGCAUUCUUUUCCCUGGGUUUCUUCAUAGCAACGUUUUGUUUUUCACUCGGAACAAUUUCUGAAUCCUUGAGUUUGAAAAAAAAACUUAGGAGUAAAAACAAUUGGUACCAAAUAUAAUUGUAGUCAGAAGGCUGCUUACUGAUAUUAAAGUAACCUCAGUAGCAAUGUAAAGGUUCAUGUCUGUUGUGUCAAAUUAUAUUUUUUGUGAUAGUUUAGAAGGAAUAUAAAGUUAGAACUAAGUGUGAUGAUCACCUGAGCCUUGGAGAGAAACUUUGGUGCCUCUAAUCAGAUCAUCUACAAACAACAGGUUACUCCUUGGUAUGCAUAAUUAGUUGCUGGAGGAUAAACUAGCCACACAGAGUCUCAGCCAUCAUGAAGUUUCUGAUGUCCUGCAGAGUGUUCAGCCCAGGAGGUCAAUGCCACAGUUUUCCUGAGUCCCCUGUACCUGCUCUACACUGCUUUAGUGGCCUCUACAGAUAUGUGAGUGAUGGCACAGUGGCAGGCACAGAAGUCUUUCUGAAGAAUAGGAGAGAGAGUUCCUGACCUCUAGGGGAAUAGAGUUUAAAGAAAGGUAACCAGAAGAGUGAUCUGAGGAUGCAUGGAAGUGCUUAUUAAAGGAUUUAUGUUUGUGAUAGCUGAAUACAAGUCCCCGUGCUCAUAUUGGACAUAGAAGGAAGUAUGGAUGGGUUGGUGAGGGGGUGCAAACAAAGAGUAAUCCCAUGCUAUUCCUACAGUAUUGUGCCAUCACCUGUGUAGAGUCCUGUUUUCUUCCUUUCUGGACAAUAACGACAGGGCCAAGAGAAAUCUACCAUACUCCCUAAUAUACCACCACCUGAUUGUCCCUGGGUGGCAGUGGAGAUUAAAGUCUGCAAAGAGAGAAGUCAGACUUUUGAAGCUCUGACUUGUGUCCCCAGAGACUCUCCUUAUUACUUUCGGCCACAGAAACUCCCUGUUGCUUACUGUGAUCCAUCCUGCACAUCUGCCUGCAGGGCUCCAACAAUGGGCACCACUAUUUCUCUGUCUUUUCUCCUCUUCUCUCAUUAAGAAGUGUUACAUACUCCUCCUCCUGCAUAAGUUCCAACUCAUAAAAUUUUUUAUUAAUAAAUACUAAUUGUACACAUUAAUAGGGUUUGGUGUGAUCUUUCUAUACAUGGACAUGAGAGGUCUUUCCAUCUUCUAGUAUCUUCUUUGAUUUCUUUCUUUAGCGUUUUAUAAUUUCCACCUAGUUAGGUUUUAUCCCUGGGUAUUUUAUUUUGAGGUCUUUAUGAAUAGAAUUAUUUUCCUAAUUUCUUUUUCAGUGAGUUCAUUAUUGGUGUAUAAAAAAGUCACUGGAUUUUGUAUGUUGAUUUUGUAUCAUACUACAUUGCUCAAUUUAUCAGUUCUCAGAGUCAUUUGGUAGAGUAUUCGAUUCAUAUCACCUGCAGACAGGGAUAAUUUGACUUCUUCCCUUCCUAUUUAUAUCACUUUUUUUUUCUUUCUCUUGCCCAAUUGCUCUGAUUAACAUUUGUAUACAAUGUUAAAAUGAAUAAAAGUGAUGAAAGCAGAUACUCUUGUCUCAUUCCUGAUUUUAGAGAAAAUGCUUUCACUGUUUCCCAAUUUAGUGUAAUGUUGGCCAUAGGGUAGUCAUAUAUAACUUGUAACAUGUUGAGGUAUAAUCCUUCAAUACCUAGUGUCUUCAGAAAUUUUAUCACAAAGGGAUUCUGAAUUUUAUCAAAGGCUUUUUUUUUUUUUUACAUUUAUUGAGAUGA
Ictidomys tridecemlineatus (thirteen-lined ground squirrel) is the source of this 2033-nucleotide non-coding RNA. Lineage: Eukaryota; Metazoa; Chordata; Mammalia; Rodentia; Sciuridae. The record is from RefSeq and is a predicted model, not a curated record.